GGAAUCUUAGACAAUGGGCGCAAGCCUGAUCUAGCCAUGCCGCGUGAGUGAUGAAGGCCUUAGGGUCGUAAAGCUCUUUCGCCAGAGAUGAUAAUGACAGUAUCUGGUAAAGAAGCCCCGGCUAACUCCGUGCCAGCAGCCGCGGUAAUACGGAGGGGGCUAGCGUUGUUCGGAAUUACUGGGCGUAAAGCGCGCGUAGGCGGACUGGAAAGUUGGGGGUGAAAUCCCGGGGCUCAACCCCGGAACUGCCUCCAAAACUAUCAGUCUGGAGUUCGAGAGAGGUGAGUGGAAUUCCGAGUGUAGAGGUGAAAUUCGUAGAUAUUCGGAGGAACACCAGUGGCGAAGGCGGCUCACUGGCUCGAUACUGACGCUGAGGUGCGAAAGUGUGGGGAGCA
This 395-nucleotide ribosomal RNA is filed under the name uncultured bacterium. Its description in RNAcentral is "bacterial SSU rRNA". It matches the Rfam family "Bacterial small subunit ribosomal RNA", at positions 358 to 770 of the family's 1533-position model. The record is from RNAcentral.